This 116-nucleotide ribosomal RNA is filed under the name Isobaculum melis. The record is from RNAcentral. Lineage: Bacteria; Bacillati; Bacillota; Bacilli; Lactobacillales; Carnobacteriaceae.
UGUGGUAUCGAUAGCAAGAAGGAUACACCUGUUCCCAUGCCGAACACAGAAGUUAAGUUUCUUUGCGCCGAUAGUAGUUGAGGGGUUCCCUCUGCAAGGAUAGGGCGUUGCCACGC